AUCUGUUAGUCUCUAAGGUGCCACAAGUACUCCUUUUCUUUUUGCGAAUACAGACUAACACGGCUGCUACUCUGAAACCUUUCAAAACAUUGUUCUUCCCACAUGGAAAUCCUUCAGACGUGCUUAGUCAAAUAGUCAAAAGUCUGCCUUUCUGACAAAAAUAGUGCUUUUUUUGAGUGCUUCUGAUAUUUUUGUUUUGAAAGAUAGGGAUUUUUAAUGACUUUUUAAUAAUUCAACCCCAAAAUGGUAAUGUUCAAUUCUCUUCCUAAUUGUUGUUCAAAAGCGAGAUUCAAAAACUGUUUGGACACAGGAAGCUGUGAUUUUAUUUUAUUUUUUAAAAAUGUAUUUUUAUUUAUUUUAUCUUUAAGCAAAGUCAGUAUUUUUUGUUACAAUGCUCAUAAGCAUGAUUAUAAGCAUUAAUAAGCUUGUAUUAUUGUCAGUUUUUUAUCCACACAGUUGUAAAGCGCAGGUAACUUCUUCAGUUUCCCUCAGUCUCCUGCUGUUAAUAACAUCUUUGACCCUGUGUACCCCUUCUAAAGAAUGCUCUCUCUCUUCAUGAGUUGAUCGAAGCCAUUGCAAUCUGUGCAGAAUAUUUCUCCAUUUUGGACAAGAUUGCACCCUCCCACAGUAAAAUACAAUGAAGGAGGCUAACAGAGAGGCAUAUGUCUGAGAAGUUGUUCAUGGAGAUUUCCCCGCAACAUUUUCUUGGGAUGGAAUAGCAUUUGAUUUCCUGCAGAAUAGGUCUUAGUACCCUCAUUUGAAUCACAUUGAUCCCCUUGAUCAAAAGAAGGGUAGGGCCAGCCAUGCCAAAACCCUGCUGCUCCAAGCUGGCUCAAACUCCAAAAUGCUCCCUUCGUCCUAGAAGAAUGACUCCACUGGGGGAAUGCUACCAGGGGUUCCACUUGUCAUGGGAACUUUUGUUAUUUUGGCUACCCUUUCCUUAUAGCGAAUCCUACCCAUGGAGGGGAGGGUUCCAUGAAACAGGUAACACAGUCACAGCCUUUAUUAUUUCUUCCUGGUAAGCUCUGAGAUACCAAGAUGAGAUGAUUUGCUUCCCCAACCUAAUAGAGAUUAUUUUUUUAUUGGCCUAACACUACCUCUCUGCCCCACUAGCAUUCAACUAGUUCUUCAUAUAUGCAGCCUUCUGACAAGUAGAAUAUCUCUAUUUGAAAGAGUUUGACAGAAUUUUUUCUCCUAUCCAUGUCAUUAUUAAUCUGAAAUCAGACAUGUCUGUUACGUACCCACUAUACUUCAUUUUCAUUUACAAAAGGCUAACAGAAUUAAAUUCAAGGCUGCCUGAAAUGCAUGUCAGCUCAUUUAUAUGAACAAAUGUAGUUUCUAAAAUCUGGUUCUUUCUAGUUAAGAUACACCUAAGUUGAUUCUUUCUCAGAUUCUGCCUUAUCACUACUCUUUCAUCUUGCAUUUGAAUUUCAGUAUGAAAUGGAACAGACAAGCUCCCUUAAAUUUAAGUCUUAAAAUAUUUAACUUUGUUCCUGUGUAAACAAUCAGAAUUCAAAGGUAUGGGACUGAACUGAACACAUUUCUUCAUCACCAUCAUCAUUAACAAGUGUUUUGAUAUAUGUGGUGUAGAAUAAAUUCCUUUCAUCACAGUAAAAAUCUUCCAAUUAUCUUUUAUUCUCUGAUAUUUUGUAUCCGAUUCAUACUCAUGACCUGGUGUGUUUUUCCCCUGCUCCCUGCCACGCACACUAUUUUUAGUGUAAUGUAUUUAUUGAGAACCUUAUACAGACUCUAAUGAAUUAAGGGUCAACCUUAAAUAAAAAUGAGUUCAUGUAUUCUUAAAAAUUCAACGUAUGCUGGAAUUGUAUAGCAUAUAAAGUAAAAAAAAAAAAUUAUAUUCCA
Molecule: long non-coding RNA, 1860 nt
Organism: Dermochelys coriacea (leatherback sea turtle)
Lineage: Eukaryota; Metazoa; Chordata; Testudines; Dermochelyidae
Exons: 2
Source: RefSeq, a predicted model, not a curated record